Molecule: unclassified non-coding RNA, 254 nt
Filed under: plant metagenome
Description: partial contains small subunit ribosomal RNA, internal transcribed spacer 1, and 5.8S ribosomal RNA
Source: RNAcentral
UUUCCGUAGGUGAACCUGCGGAAGGAUCAUUAACGAGUUAGGGUUUCUCUGGCCCGACCUCCCAACCCGUUGUCUACUUGACCAUCGUUGCUUCGGCGAGCCCGUCCUCACGGACCGCCGAAGGGACCUUUACUGGCCCUUUGUUCCGCGCUCGUCGGUGGCCCAACCUUUCAAAUCUAUAACUAAACGUGCCUUAAUCUAAGUACAAUUAUUAAAUAAAAGCAAAACUUUCAGCAACGGAUCUCUUGGUUCUG